AAAGGUAGAGACCAGACAGUUACACGUGAGUCACCGGCGUGUAAAGGUUAUACGCUGGCUGAGUGGUGGAAGUUCUUGAGAGACGAUCCUUUAAAUCAGACUCCUGAUACAUAACAGUGACUGAUCGUGACUUAAGGAAACAAAAACCAUACACGUUGCUCUAUUCUGGAGGAAAUCCCUUGCAGAAAGUCCAUGAUAUUAUAGGAUUUAGUGGAAAGAGUGGACACCCGCAAGUGUGUUCGCGUAUCAGACGGCGUGAGUCAGUCUUGUUUACGGGUGCAGGAAGUUCGUGGAGGGAGUUCCCCCGUUGGAAGUCGCCAAAGAUAAGAUUAUCGCUGUCUCUCGGCAAGGACCUCCAACCGGCCUGUCAUGGGCAACGUGCGGGCGGGCGUGGGCGUCGCGGCAGUGCUCCUGUGGGCGGCAGUGGGCGUGCAGGGUCAUGGCAGACUGAUUGAACCGCCAUCCAGAUCUUCUGCUUGGA
Molecule: long non-coding RNA, 481 nt
Organism: Penaeus monodon (black tiger shrimp)
Lineage: Eukaryota; Metazoa; Arthropoda; Malacostraca; Decapoda; Penaeidae
Exons: 3
Source: RefSeq, a predicted model, not a curated record